GACGAACGCUGGCGGCGUGCCUAACACAUGCAAGUCGAGCGAUGAAGUUCCUUCGGGAACGGAUUAGCGGCGGACGGGUGAGUAACACGUGGGCAACCUGCCUUAUAGAGGGGAAUAGCCUUCCGAAAGGAAGAUUAAUACCGCAUAAGAUUGUAGCUUCGCAUGAAGCAGCAAUUAAAGGAGCAAUCCGCUAUAAGAUGGGCCCGCGGCGCAUUAGCUAGUUGGUGAGGUAACGGCUCACCAAGGCGACGAUGCGUAGCCGACCUGAGAGGGUGAUCGGCCACAUUGGGACUGAGACACGGCCCAGACUCCUACGGGAGGCAGCAGUGGGGAAUAUUGCACAAUGGGCGCAAGCCUGAUGCAGCCAUGCCGCGUGUAUGAAGAAGGCCUUCGGGUUGUAAAGUACUUUCAGCGGGGAGGAAGGGAGUAAAGUUAAUACCUUUGCUCAUUGACGUUACCCGCAGAAGAAGCACCGGCUA
RNAcentral lists this ribosomal RNA (479 nucleotides) under uncultured Escherichia sp. Its description in RNAcentral is "bacterial SSU rRNA". It matches the Rfam family "Bacterial small subunit ribosomal RNA", at positions 28 to 499 of the family's 1533-position model. Lineage: Bacteria; Pseudomonadati; Pseudomonadota; Gammaproteobacteria; Enterobacterales; Enterobacteriaceae. The record is from RNAcentral.